RNAcentral lists this ribosomal RNA (253 nucleotides) under uncultured bacterium. RNAcentral describes it as "partial 16S ribosomal RNA". It matches the Rfam family "Bacterial small subunit ribosomal RNA", at positions 524 to 776 of the family's 1533-position model. The record is from RNAcentral.
UACGUAGGGGGCAAGCGUUAUCCGGAAUUAAUGGGCGUAAAGCGCACGCAGGCGGUUUGCCAAGUUUGGAGUGACAGUUGUUGGCUCAACCGACAAAGGACUUCAAAAACUGGUGAACUUGAGGGCGAGAGAGGAACAUGGAACUCCAGGUGUAGUAGUGAAAUGCGUAGAUAUCUGGAAGAACACCAAUGGCGAAGGCAAUGUUCUGGCUCGUUUCUGACGCUCAGGUGCGAAAGCCAGGGGAGCGAACGGG